AUCGCUUCUCGGCCUUUUGGCUAAGAUCAAGUGUAUUUCUAGUCUUAUUGCAUAGAAAUUAAUUUUAAUGAUUUGUUAUUCUCUACCUCCUUUUUAAAAUUUUAUUUGAAUGUUUAUUCAUUUUUGAGAGAGCGAGCGAGCAGGGUAGGGGCAAGAGAGAGCAAGGGACAGAGGAUCUGAAGCGGGCUCUGUGCUCUCAGCAGCA
The sequence is a small nuclear RNA, 205 nucleotides long. Its record names the gene U2. It matches the Rfam family "U2 spliceosomal RNA". From Rfam's summary of the family: U2 is a small nuclear RNA (snRNA) component of the spliceosome (involved in pre-mRNA splicing). The record is from Ensembl.